CCGGAACAAAGUGGACCUGGGGUGAAAAGCAGACAAGUGUACAGUAUGAACAAGCUCAAUCUCACAAAGGUACGUGGCCAGCUGAGCACACCUGCGCUUCUCAAACAUACCCAUGAAAGAAGAAUGGAGGUGGAUGCACCUUCACCUGCACCGAGUUAGAGACCAGGAGGCUAGAGGACACAGUGGAAGCAGUGCAGGAAACAUCUGCUGAGUGAAUGACUGUGACACAAGUCCUCUGCCAGGAGGCGGGAGACAGAAAACCUUCAUAACGUACUUGGAAGGAAAUUGGAGCAACUCUGUCAGCUGUCACGAGGGGUGUCACUAUGUAGUUCCAACUGGCCUGGACUCACUAUGCAGCCCAGGCUGGCCUUCAACUUGUGGUGAUCCUCUUGCCUUGGCCUCUCAAGUACUGACAUGACAGGUAUUUGUCAUCACGCCUACCUAAUGUUCCUAAUUUUGAAGACAGAAUUUCAGUUAUAUAAUUUAAUUAAAAAUUAAAUAAAAAUUUAAAUUUAAUACUUUAGCCAUGACUACUGAUCCAUCUCCAAAUUCAAAUCCAUGCCAAAAAUGCAGAGAUUUGCCUUUGGUAGAAGAGUCGAAAGAACACCCAGUCAGAUGGGCAUAGAGGUACACCUACAGUAAUCCCACUACUGUGGGAGGCUGAGGCAGGAGGAUCACAAGUUCCAGCCCAGAUUGGACAAAUUAGUAACUUGGCAAGGCCGUGCCUCAAAACAAAAAUUAAAAAGGGCUGUGAAUGUCACUUACUACAAAGGCGGUGGGUUCAACCCUCACCUCCUCAAAAAAAAACCGCUAAAAAUAAAACACACACGGUUGGCUGACAGCGACUUAAAAGGCAGAGAUCAAUGGCAGCAGCAGAGAGGAGCCACCUGGACUGUGACUCAGGCGGAACCAUCCUGAACUGAAAAAGAAGAGGCCUCUGGCUUUACCAACAUACCUUACACCUCCAACAUACCUUACAAAGAAUCACAGCACCGCACGGGUAACAGGAGACACACGUUGGAGGGCUCUGCCACCAACUUCACCUGGUGCACGGGCAGUGCAGUGACUGGGGCAGUGAGAGCAGAGACAGCUGCGAGCCUGG
This is a long non-coding RNA of Cavia porcellus (domestic guinea pig), 1102 nucleotides long. RefSeq lists it as uncharacterized. NCBI's taxonomy places the organism in Eukaryota, Metazoa, Chordata, Mammalia, Rodentia, Caviidae. The record is from RefSeq and is a predicted model, not a curated record. The transcript is spliced from 3 exons.